AAAUUAUGUAAUGUUACUCGAAAUGUUUGAGACGUUUCAUUGGGCAUGCGCAAUGUAGCACAACUCCCCUCGCCACACUUUGCUGAAGCUCAUGGACUGAAGAUGGUUUGAGCAUCCACUCAAGGUUUCCUCUUGAUUGAAUUCUGCCAAGCAGUGGACUUUCAUCUGAUGUAACUUGUGUGCACACUACAGUACUUCAUGGCCUUUCAAUCCUCCUGGGGGAUAAUUCUAUGGACGUUUUCAGGACAUGCAUUGAUUCAGAUGUGAAUAGACCUGAGUGCAGCUGAUGUUGGCCUGCUCACAGUUUUACCAGAAGACAUGCCUGCCCAAACUCCACAUGCCCUCAAUGUCGACUCAUUAAGGGCAAUCAUUCUCGAGGGAAAAAUUGUGGUUGGUGAUGUCUCAAACUUGCCACAUGCUGUAUGUUUUUGUUUUUGACAAAUUAAAUGUUACAAAGAUUUAAAAUUCUUUUUUAAAAAAGUUAUUUGAUGUCAAGUGGCAGUUAUUGAUGGUCCCCAUGCUAUUUAGUUAGAAGUAUAUAUUUAUAUAUUUAGUAUUUCUUCUGCAUUGUUCUUAAAACUCUGUUUAUUGUUUAUUAAAAAAACUUCAGAGUUUUA
Molecule: long non-coding RNA, 617 nt
Organism: Tachysurus fulvidraco (yellow catfish)
Lineage: Eukaryota; Metazoa; Chordata; Actinopteri; Siluriformes; Bagridae
Exons: 4
Source: RefSeq, a predicted model, not a curated record